UACGUAGGGUGCGUGCGUUAAUCGGAUUUACUGGGCGUAAAGCGUGCGCAGGCGGCCCGUUAAGACAGGUGUGAAAUCCCUGGGCUCAACCUAGGAAUUGCUCUUGUGACUGGCGGGCUCGAGUACGGUAGAGGGGGGUGGAAUUCCUGGUGUAGCAGUGAAAUGCGUAGAGAUCAGGAGGAACACCGAUGGCGAAGGCAGCCCCCUGGGCCUGUACUGACGCUCAUGCACGAAAGCGUGGGGAGCAAACAGG
RNAcentral lists this ribosomal RNA (253 nucleotides) under uncultured microorganism. Its description in RNAcentral is "partial 16S ribosomal RNA". It matches the Rfam family "Bacterial small subunit ribosomal RNA", at positions 524 to 776 of the family's 1533-position model. The record is from RNAcentral.